Molecule: ribosomal RNA, 433 nt
Filed under: uncultured bacterium
Lineage: Bacteria
Description: partial 16S ribosomal RNA
Rfam family: Bacterial small subunit ribosomal RNA
Source: RNAcentral
AACGAACGCUGGCGGCAUGCCUAACACAUGCAAGUCGAACGAGACCUUCGGGUCUAGUUGCGCACGGGUGCGUAACGCGUGGGAACCUGCCCUUAGGUUCGGAAUAACUCCCCGACAGGGGUGCUAAUGCCGGAUAAUGUCUUCUGAUCAAAGAUUUAUCGACCUUGGGUGGGCCCGCGUUGGUUUGGCUAGUUGGUAGGGUAAAAGCCUACCAAGGCGACGAUCCUUAGCUGGUCUGAGAGGAUGGUCAGCCACACUGAGACUGAGACACGGCCCGGACUCCUACGGGAGGCAGCAGUGGCGAAUACUGGACAACGGGCGAAAGCAUGAUCCAGCAAUGCCGCGUGAGUGAUGAAGGCCUUAGGGUUGUAAAGCUCUUUUACCCGGGAUGAUAAUGACAGUACCGGGAGAAUAAGCUCCGGCUAACUCCGUG